AACGAACGCUGGCGGCAGGCUUAACACAUGCAAGUCGAACGCUCCGCAAGGAGAGUGGCAGACGGGUGAGUAACGCGUGGGAAUCUACCUAGUUCUACGGAACAACUGAGGGAAACUUCAGCUAAUACCGUAUACGCCCUACGGGGAAAGAUUAAUCGGAAUUGGAUGAGCCCGCGUUGGAUUAGCUAGUUGGUGGGGUA
This 200-nucleotide ribosomal RNA is filed under the name uncultured bacterium. RNAcentral describes it as "partial 16S ribosomal RNA". It matches the Rfam family "Bacterial small subunit ribosomal RNA", at positions 29 to 259 of the family's 1533-position model. The record is from RNAcentral.